RNAcentral lists this ribosomal RNA (1008 nucleotides) under Metarhizium lymantriidarum. Its description in RNAcentral is "SSU rRNA". It matches the Rfam family "Eukaryotic small subunit ribosomal RNA", at positions 87 to 1106 of the family's 1831-position model. The record is from RNAcentral. Lineage: Eukaryota; Fungi; Ascomycota; Sordariomycetes; Hypocreales; Clavicipitaceae.
CUGCGAAUGGCUCAUUAUAUAAGUUAUCGUUUAUUUGAUAGUACCUUACUACUUGGAUAACCGUGGUAAUUCUAGAGCUAAUACAUGCUAAAAAUCCCGACUUCGGAAGGGAUGUAUUUAUUAGAUUAAAAACCAAUGCCCUCUGGGCUCUCUGGUGAUUCAUGAUAACUUCUCGAAUCGCAUGGCCUUGCGCCGGCGAUGGUUCAUUCAAAUUUCUUCCCUAUCAACUUUCGAUGUUUGGGUAGUGGCCAAACAUGGUUGCAACGGGUAACGGAGGGUUAGGGCUCGACCCCGGAGAAGGAGCCUGAGAAACGGCUACUACAUCCAAGGAAGGCAGCAGGCGCGCAAAUUACCCAAUCCCGAUUCGGGGAGGUAGUGACAAUAAAUACUGAUACAGGGCUCUUUUGGGUCUUGUAAUUGGAAUGAGUACAAUUUAAAUCCCUUAACGAGGAACAAUUGGAGGGCAAGUCUGGUGCCAGCAGCCGCGGUAAUUCCAGCUCCAAUAGCGUAUAUUAAAGUUGUUGUGGUUAAAAAGCUCGUAGUUGAACCUUGGGCCUGGCUGGCCGGUCCGCCUCACCGCGUGUACUGGUCCGGCCGGGUCUUUCCCUCUGUGGAACCCCAUGCCCUUCACUGGGCGUGGCGGGGAAACAGGACUUUUACUUUGAAAAAAUUAGAGUGCUCCAGGCAGGCCUAUGCUCGAAUACAUUAGCAUGGAAUAAUGAAAUAGGACGUGCGGUUCUAUUUUGUUGGUUUCUAGGACCGCCGUAAUGAUUAAUAGGGACAGUCGGGGGCAUCAGUAUUCAAUUGUCAGAGGUGAAAUUCUUGGAUUUAUUGAAGACUAACUACUGCGAAAGCAUUUGCCAAGGAUGUUUUCAUUAAUCAGGAACGAAAGUUAGGGGAUCGAAGACGAUCAGAUACCGUCGUAGUCUUAACCAUAAACUAUGCCGACUAGGGAUCGGACGAUGUUAUUUUUUGACUCGUUCGGCACCUUACGAGAAAUCAAAGUGC